Long non-coding RNA from Hippopotamus amphibius kiboko, 265 nucleotides. RefSeq lists it as uncharacterized. NCBI's taxonomy places the organism in Eukaryota, Metazoa, Chordata, Mammalia, Artiodactyla, Hippopotamidae. The record is from RefSeq and is a predicted model, not a curated record. The transcript has 3 exons.
CCCAAGGCAAGCGAGGCUUGUGGCAAUAGAAACAAAAGCCAAAGUCAGUUGCUAGAAACUUUGGAACACUCCAUAGCCAUGGAAGAGAAAAAAGAGAGCCGUCCUUAUUCAAGACUGAGUGUAUAAACUGACCUCAGCAAGUCUGCCAGAGCACAGGAGAAUGAAUCAUCUCAUGGCACAGUGACUCUGUCGUACGUCUUAGGUGCUGUUAGGAGGUCACCUAUGGACACACAGCAGAGGAUCAAGUCAUUUUUGGUGAAAUGGU